This 207-nucleotide ribosomal RNA is filed under the name uncultured bacterium. Its description in RNAcentral is "partial 16S ribosomal RNA". It matches the Rfam family "Bacterial small subunit ribosomal RNA", at positions 123 to 334 of the family's 1533-position model. The record is from RNAcentral.
AACCUCGUCCUUUGUGGUGGGAUAGCCGCCACGCGGGUAAUACCGCAUACGUUCUCGACAAGGAGUCUUGUUGAGAGGAAACCUCCGGGGCACAAAGAGGGGCUCGCGGCCUAUCAGCUAGUUGGCGGGGUAAUGGCCCACCAAGGCGACGACGGGUAGCUGGUCUGAGAGGAUGGCCAGCCACAUUGGGACUGAGAGACGGCCCAG